Populus euphratica (Euphrates poplar) is the source of this 848-nucleotide RNA transcript. RefSeq lists it as uncharacterized. The transcript is spliced from 3 exons. The record is from RefSeq and is a predicted model, not a curated record. Lineage: Eukaryota; Viridiplantae; Streptophyta; Magnoliopsida; Malpighiales; Salicaceae.
GUCUCCUCUCUCUCUCUCUCUCUCUCUCUCACUCUUCCCAUCUAUAUCUCCCUCAGCGAGAGGAAACCCAAAAGCAUGAUAUCUUGCAGUUUUUAAAGAAGUGCUUAGAGUAUUACAAAGAUGUUGCUGGGAAAGAGACCUCGUAAUCCAAUGAAAAGGACGACAAGCUUGACAGAGAUCAAAUUUGAUCUAAACACUGCUAGUACUGAAGCAGCCCCACCGUCAGAUCAUGCUCAAAAACAGGUGGGAUAUGGUGGAAUGAUAGAUCAACGGUCCUCGGCUGCCACUGGAUCACCAAGAACCAGCCAUAGAAGGGCUUCUGCUGAUUUCUUGGAGACCGCUCACUUCUUGAGGGCUUGCUCUCUUUGCAAGCGCCGGUUGAUCCCUGGCCGUGACAUCUAUAUGUACAAGGGCGAUAGUGCUUUUUGCAGUCAAGAAUGCAGGCAACAACAAAUGAGCUUAGAUGAGAGAAAAAAGAAAUGCUCAUUAGCACCCAAGAAAGAGGCUGUAUCCUCCACCACCGCAACAGAAGUUUCCGCUAAAGGCGAGACCGUUGCCGCCUUGUAGAGUUAAUUACUUGCGGUCCUUCGAAAAAAACACUCGCUUAAUUAUAUAUAAAUAUAAUCCAGGUCUAUAUAAAUGUGGGUUUUGAUGCAGGCGUAUAUUUUGUAUGCACAUGGGCAAGUUUUGAAGCUCUUCUAAUUUACGUGGAUCCACUGCGCAUACAAUUAACAAGCUAGAAUUAAUGAGUGUUGUACUCCUUCCUAGUUUUUUUUUUCUGGUUUUUCUAUCGCCUUUUACUUUGUUUUGUUUUGCUAGUAAUGGAAGAAAGUUGCAGAUUCAAAAGA